RNAcentral lists this ribosomal RNA (534 nucleotides) under uncultured bacterium. Its description in RNAcentral is "bacterial SSU rRNA". It matches the Rfam family "Bacterial small subunit ribosomal RNA", at positions 774 to 1319 of the family's 1533-position model. The record is from RNAcentral.
AGUGAAUAGAUACCCGGGUAGUCCACGCCGUAAACUAUGGAUGCUAGCUGUACACCGUAUCGACCCGGUGUGUAGCGAAAGCUAACGCGUUAAGCAUCCCGCCUGUGGAGUACGAGCGCAAGCUUAAAACAUAAAGGAAUUGACGGGGACCCGCACAAGCGGUGGAGCGUGUUGUUUAAUUCGAGGGUAAGCGAAGAACCUUACCAAGGCUUGAAAUCCUGAUAGAGAUACUCCGAAAGGAGUGUUGCAUUUAGUUGGAUCAGUGACAGGUGUUGCAUGGCCGUCGUCAGCUCGUGUCGUGAGAUGUUGGGUUAAGUCCCGCAACGAGCGCAACCCCUUUGUUCAGUUGGAUUUUUCUGAACAGACUGCCCUGGUAACAGGGAGGAAGGAGGGAUGAUGUCAGGUCAGUAUUACCCUUACGCCUUGGGCUACAAACACGCUACAAUGGCCGGUACAAGGGCUGCCAAGUCGCAAGACGGAGCAAAUCCCAUCAAAACCGGUCUCAGUUCGGAUUGCAGGCUGAAACUCGCCUGC